This is a long non-coding RNA of Oreochromis niloticus (Nile tilapia), 629 nucleotides long. RefSeq lists it as uncharacterized. The record is from RefSeq and is a predicted model, not a curated record. The transcript is spliced from 6 exons. NCBI's taxonomy places the organism in Eukaryota, Metazoa, Chordata, Actinopteri, Cichliformes, Cichlidae.
AUCUGAGCACACUACAAGUACAUAUUUGCUUACUCUGUAUGCUCAAAUGUGACCCGUUAUAGCCAACAGAAAAAAAGCGGAGGCCCGAAAAACAGGUGGGGGUCCUCCAACACCACCACUCACAGAGGCUGAGCAGUUGGCCCUCAGCCAAAACAGUGGGCGCCCUGUGGCUGAAGGCAUCUCUGCGGGACAUCCUCUGAGUCAAUAACCCCGCAAGACACAAGUGCCUACAUAAGAGUUGAUGGUGAUGGUGUACUGCAUCUGGUGCAGCCUCCUGUUGAGCCAGACCAACAUGCAGUUGAAAAUAAUGAAGAAACAUUGACAGCUGUUACAGAGGAGGAAGCAACAGAGACACUUUAUGAGAGUGAUGAUGGAAAUGCAGAGGAAGAGGGUCCAGCCACUUCUCCAACAAACCUUUCCUCACUCCCUGUAAAGCAGCUGUACAAGACCUAUUUGAUCAAGAAAAUAAAAAAAAUGUGACUUGGAAAUGGAACACUUCAAGCAGCAGAUCCAAAAGACCAAGAUUGAGAUUUUACUGCUGGAACAUCAGUUAAGGGAAAUACAGGCGACCAAUAAAGCCAGUUGAACAAAAAAUCUGUUUAUUCUUCUUUCAACAUGUUGAGGUGAUG